CGUAAAGAGCGUGUAGGCGGGUAGUUAAGUCAGAAGUGAAAUCCAAUAGCUCAACUAUUGAACUGCUUUUGAAACUGAUUACCUAGAAUAUGGGAGAGGUAGAUGGAAUUUCUGGUGUAGGGGUAAAAUCCGUAGAGAUCAGAAGGAAUACCGAUUGCGAAAGCGAUCUACUGGAACAUUAUUGACGCUGAGACGCGAAAGCGUGGGGAGCAAACAGGAUUAGAUACCCUGGUAGUCCACGCCCUAAACGAUGUACACUAGUUGUUGUGAGGCUCGACCUUGCAGUAAUGCAGUUAACACAUUAAGUGUACCGCCUGGGGAGUACGGUCGCAAGAUUAAAACUCAAAGGAAUAGACGGGGACCCGCACAAGCGGUGGAGCAUGUGGUUUAAUUCGACGAUACACGAAGAACCUUACCUGGACUUGACAUAGUAAGAACUUUCUAGAGAUAGAUUGGUGUCUGCUUGCAGAAACUUAUAUACAGGUGCUGCACGGCUGUCGUCAGCUCGUGUCGUGAGAUGUUGGGUUAAGUCCCGCAACGAGCGCAACCCUCGUCAUUAGUUGCUAACAGUUCGGCUGAGAACUCUAAUGAGACUGCCUACGCAAGUAGGAGGAAGGUGAGGACGACGUCAAGUCAUCAUGGCCCUUACGUCCAGGGCUACACACGUGCUACAAUGGGGUAUACAAAGAGCCGCAAUACGGUGACGUGGAGCAAAUCUCAAAAAUAUCUCCCAGUUCGGAUUGUAGUCUGCAACUCGACUACAUGAAGUUGGAAACGCUAGUAAUC
This 786-nucleotide ribosomal RNA is filed under the name uncultured Arcobacter sp. Its description in RNAcentral is "bacterial SSU rRNA". It matches the Rfam family "Bacterial small subunit ribosomal RNA", at positions 559 to 1343 of the family's 1533-position model. The record is from RNAcentral. Lineage: Bacteria; Pseudomonadati; Campylobacterota; Epsilonproteobacteria; Campylobacterales; Arcobacteraceae.